Long non-coding RNA from Ailuropoda melanoleuca (giant panda), 2152 nucleotides. Ensembl annotates it as G protein-coupled receptor 160. The record is from Ensembl. NCBI's taxonomy places the organism in Eukaryota, Metazoa, Chordata, Mammalia, Carnivora, Ursidae.
AUGGCCCCUGCCCAUCCUGCAGAUAUAGGAGCUCCUUGGGGUUGGGGCUGGGGCCUCAAGGGCUGGUACGCGGAAGGGGGUCUCACCCAGCGGCGGGCGGCUCCCGCUCUCCCCGUCCUCCAUCGCCUUUCGCCCCCCCGCCGGCAGGCGGCGCCCCUCCGUCCGGCUUCCCGCCGGGGUCGCGACGGGGCGUGCGCGCUCAAAGGCUGCCCGGCUCGGACGCCCGCACUUCCUGGUGGGAGCGGGCCUAACGGCGGGGUCCCCCUCGGGUCCCAGGGCCCGCGCUUGCUGCCCCCGCCCCUCCUCCUGGGAGCGCUCGGGGCGGAGCCGGCCGGGCGCGCUGGGCUCCCGCCCCUCUACCGGCGGUCACCUGGGGCCGGGCGCAGCAGGUGUCUGGUCUGGCGUCCCGAGCCGGCGACGCGGAGCGCGAGCCCGGAGCCUCGACGCGCCGGGUGGCCCCGGGAGGUGUCGGCAGGGCCCAACCCCGGAAUUCCAGAGGCGACCGCAAGGACCCAGCCGGCGGAGAAACGUCCAGCUGGGAGGAAACGUGCUCGCUUCGCCCCACCUUGUGCAAAUGACUCGGAGCUUAGUCACAUGGCAUUCUGGAAUGCCAGGUACCAAAAGUAAGAUCACUGAAGGCAGUACAACUGAGAUGAUCCGUCAAGACAGACCUGCUGCAGAAAGCAGAGUAAGUAUGUUAAGUGUCAUGUGUUGCUAAGAAUUAAUUGGGUUUGUUGUUUAUUUGAGAGAGAACUCGAGGCAGGGGGGAGGGCAGAGGGAGAGGGACAAGCAGAGUCCCUGCUGAGCUCAGAGCCUAACACAGGGCCACAGGGCUCUCACUCAAUCCCAGGACUCUGAGAUCAUGACCUGAGCUGAAAUCAAGAGUCAGAUGCUUAACCAGCUUAGCCACCCAGGUGCCCCUGGGCUUUAGACAGGAACCCAGAGACUGGAUCAGUGAAAAGAAAUCAUGGUUUGUUUCCUGCUAAUUCUUCUAAACUGGCCAGAUCGAAAAGCCUAAAGAUGCCUUAAAAGGACUUCCAUAUUAACUAUUCACUCUGUAUAUGAAACAUAUGAGUUGAUUCAUACAUAGUUUAAAAAAAUCAUUCAGGAAAAGAGCCAUUAUCUUAUAAAUCUCUGGACCCCUGCAGUUAUUGUGAACGUUUUUCAAGGGAAAAUUCAGGGCAGGUAGCCUGUCACCGGAUUUCUUGUCUUGUCUUGGGAGGUUUAAAGAACAAAAUACUGGAAUUUUGAGUACUUUCAGUGGUUUAUGGGGGAAGCGUGGUGCAAAACUGGUAUCACGAGAAAGUUUUGAAUGGUUUCCAGGAUCACGAUAUUCAGGCACCGGUGCAAAACGACUAGAACCUCUUGUUCCGAUAUACUUCAUUUUGAUUGCUUUUUAUUGCCUCGAGUUACAUAUCUUCCCAGGGCCUUUUCCCCCUCAUCUCUAGUUUCUUACAGCUUUCUGAAUCUCUUACAUGUUCAUUUCAAACUUGUCUUUCUUCUACUCCUCUUCUAAAGAGGUUCCUGGCUGGUGCCUUGGUGGCCAUAGCUGACCAUCCUUCUCGCCGACUUUCUUCUUCCAGGGACUAGCCUGCUUUUCUGUCCUUCCAGUUGGCCCCUCUCUGAGAGCCAGUGAGGCAGUGGGGAUGCUCACCACUUAAAAUGGAUUCCUUAGCUUUAUUUAAUUUCGGAUGAGUUAUAAAGGAUACAGAUAAUUCUGUUUCUUUUAUCCUAAAGAUGUAUUUCUUAGAAUGGGAUCUUUAUAAAUAUGAACCUACUCUAUUCACCCUCUUCACACCCCUUCUAAACCAACAUCAGCUAUUUAAAACAGCCUGGUUUUUUUCUUGGCACAAGGAAGACUUCAUAUAUUAUCAUUCUAUCUUGGCUUCCUUAUCCAAACACCACCACUUAUAAAGCCAGUGGCAUUUGUCGAGGUGGUAGCCAUGAGUCAAACCUUUGUACAUAAAAUCUGAAUGGAACUUUUUGGGAGAGGGUCAAGUUAAACUAUGUAAUUUAAACUAUAUAUAUAAUUUGGGGGGAAAAUUGAGCAUACAAAAGAACUUGUUUCAUUGGUUCUUUUAUAGUUAUGAAAAUAGGUAUUUUUUUUAAAAGAUUUUAUUUAUUUGACAGAGAUAGAGACAGCCAGUGAGAG